CGAGUAGUGGCGUAAUGGUAUCGCAGGGGAUUGCUAAUCCCUCCAGCAUGUUGAUCCGUGCUGUCCCAGUUCGAAUCUGGGCUACUCGG
Molecule: transfer RNA, 89 nt
Filed under: Caudoviricetes sp.
Lineage: Duplodnaviria; Heunggongvirae; Uroviricota; Caudoviricetes
Description: tRNA-Ser
Rfam family: tRNA
About the family: Transfer RNA (tRNA) molecules are approximately 80 nucleotides in length. Their secondary structure includes four short double-helical elements and three loops (D, anti-codon, and T loops).
Source: RNAcentral